AGGUAUUAGCUCACGACCUUUCCUCCCUGCUGAAAGUGCUUUACAACCCGAAGGCCUUCUUCACACACGCGGCAUGGCUGCAUCAGGGUUUCCCCCAUUGUGCAAUAUUCCCCACUGCUGCCUCCCGUAGGAGUCUGGACCGUGUCUCAGUCCCAGUGUGGCUGAUCAUCCUCUCAAACCAGCUACGGAUCGUCGCCUUGGUGAGCCGUUACCUCACCAACUAGCUAAUCCCACCUGGG
This 239-nucleotide ribosomal RNA is filed under the name Aeromonas jandaei. RNAcentral describes it as "partial 16S rRNA". The record is from RNAcentral. Lineage: Bacteria; Pseudomonadati; Pseudomonadota; Gammaproteobacteria; Aeromonadales; Aeromonadaceae.